GUUUAAAUAGUUUAAAUAAAAUGCUGGUUUGUGGUACCAGGGAUAUGAUAAAAUUUCAUUUUAAACC
RNAcentral lists this transfer RNA (67 nucleotides) under Trachypenaeus curvirostris. RNAcentral's name for it is "tRNA-His". The record is from RNAcentral. Lineage: Eukaryota; Metazoa; Arthropoda; Malacostraca; Decapoda; Penaeidae.